Molecule: small RNA, 132 nt
Filed under: Citrobacter freundii
Lineage: Bacteria; Pseudomonadati; Pseudomonadota; Gammaproteobacteria; Enterobacterales; Enterobacteriaceae
Also listed under: 3 other names
Description: RtT sRNA
Rfam family: RtT RNA
About the family: This family represents a bacterial cis-regulatory element known as RtT RNA. The exact function of RtT is unknown although it is thought that it may be involved in changing the cellular response in relation to amino acid starvation.
Source: RNAcentral
UAUUCUUCCUAUUCGGGAAGGAUGAGAAGCUUCGACCAAGGUUCGAUUCGAGCGUUAGCGAGAAAGCGUUGCCGCAGGCAACGACCCGAAGGGCGAAGCGCGCAGCGUUGAGUAAUCCUUCCCCCACCACCA